Molecule: ribosomal RNA, 254 nt
Filed under: uncultured bacterium
Lineage: Bacteria
Description: partial 16S ribosomal RNA
Rfam family: Bacterial small subunit ribosomal RNA
Source: RNAcentral
UACGUAGGGGGCAAGCGUUGUCCGGAAUUAUUGGGGGUAAAGAGCUCGUAGGCGGUGUGUCGCGUCGGCCGUGAAAACCUGCAGCUUAACUGUGGGCUUGCGGUCGAUACGGGCAUCACUGGAGUUCGGCAGGGGAGACUGGAAUUCCUGGUGUAGCGGUGAAAUGCGCAGAUAUCAGGAGGAACACCGGUGGCGAAGGCGGGUCUCUGGGCCGAUACUGACGCUGAGGAGCGAAAGCGUGGGGAGCGAACAGG